This 254-nucleotide ribosomal RNA is filed under the name uncultured bacterium. RNAcentral describes it as "partial 16S ribosomal RNA". It matches the Rfam family "Bacterial small subunit ribosomal RNA", at positions 524 to 776 of the family's 1533-position model. The record is from RNAcentral.
UACGUAGGGGGCGAGCGUUGUCCGGAUUCAUUGGGCGUAAAGAGCUCGUAGGCGGCUUGGCAAGUCGGGUGUGAAAACUCCAGGCUCAACCUGGAGAUGCCACCCGAUACUGCUAUGGCUUGAGUUCGGUAGGGGACCACGGAAUUCCUGGUGUAGCGGUGAAAUGCGCAGAUAUCAGGAGGAACACCUAUGGCGAAGGCAGCUCUCUGGGACGGUACUGACGCUGAGACGCGAAAGCGUGGGGAGCGAACAGG